UACGUAGGGUGCGAGCGUUAAUCGGAAUUACUGGGCGUAAAGCGUGCGCAGGCGGUUCGUUAUGUCCGUUGUGAAAGCCCCGGGCUCAACCUGGGAAUGGCAAUGGAAACUGGCGGGCUAGAGUGUGGCAGAGGGGGGUGGAAUUCCGCGUGUAGCAGUGAAAUGCGUAGAGAUGCGGAGGAACACCGGUGGCGAAGGCGGCGAGCUGGCCUGUUACUGACGCUGAGGCGCGACAGCGUGGGGAGCAAACAGG
RNAcentral lists this ribosomal RNA (253 nucleotides) under uncultured bacterium. Its description in RNAcentral is "partial 16S ribosomal RNA". It matches the Rfam family "Bacterial small subunit ribosomal RNA", at positions 524 to 776 of the family's 1533-position model. The record is from RNAcentral.